RNAcentral lists this ribosomal RNA (490 nucleotides) under uncultured bacterium. RNAcentral describes it as "bacterial SSU rRNA". It matches the Rfam family "Bacterial small subunit ribosomal RNA", at positions 28 to 517 of the family's 1533-position model. The record is from RNAcentral.
GAUGAACGCUGGCGGCGUGCUUAACACAUUCAAGUCGAACGAAGCACUGAGAAGGAAGUCUUCGGAUGGAAUUUUCUUUGACUGAGUGGCGGACGGGUGAGUAACGCGUGAGCAACCUGCCUUUGUGAGGGGAAUAACGUUGGGAAACCGGCGCUAAUACCGCAUAAUGUAUCCGGAGGGCAUCCUCUGGAUACCAAAGCUUAAUGUGCUGAAAGAUGGUCUCGCGUCUGAUUAGCUAGAUGGCGGGGUAACGGCCCACCAUGGCGACGAUCAGUAGCCGGUCUGAGAGGAUGAACGGCCACAUUGGGACUGAGACACGGCCCAGACUCCUACGGGAGGCAGCAGUGGGGAAUAUUGCACAAUGGGCGCAAGCCUGAUGCAGCAACGCCGCGUGAGGGAAGAAGGUCUUCGGAUUGUAAACCUUGUUUUAGUGAAGAAAAAAUGACGGUAGCUAAAGAGGAAGCCACGGCUAACUACGUGCCAGCAGCCG